GAUGAAGAACGUAGCGAAAUGCGAUAAGUAAUGUGAAUUGCAGAAUUCAGUGAAUCAUCGAAUCUUUGAACGCACAUUGCGCCCGCCAGUAUUCUGGCGGGCAUGUCUGUUCGAGCGUCAUUUCCACCAUCAGGCCCCCGGGCCUGUGUUGGGGACCUGCGGCUGCCCGCAGGCCCCGAAAUUCAGUGGCGGUCGCGCCGUAGCAACCGAGCGUAGUAACUAAAACGUCUCGCUCUGGCUCGCUGGGCGCGCUCCGGCCGUAAAACACCCCCCCUUUUCGCAAAGGUUGACCUCGGAUCAGGUAGGAAUACCCGCUGAACUUAAGCAUAUCAAUAAGCGGAGGA
RNAcentral lists this unclassified non-coding RNA (344 nucleotides) under soil metagenome. Its description in RNAcentral is "partial contains 5.8S ribosomal RNA, internal transcribed spacer 2, and large subunit ribosomal RNA". The stretch from base 1 to 120 matches the Rfam family "5.8S ribosomal RNA", at positions 35 to 154 of the family's 154-position model. The record is from RNAcentral.